AGGAUCCUUCAUUAAGCUCAAUCAAAAUUAUCGAAAAAAAAUCCUUUACUUGAUCAAUCUUAAAGAGAUAAAUUUCGUAGAGAGAGAAUAAUUCUAAGGAAAGAAAAUUUGUAGAGAGAGAAAAUGAGAUUUUUCUAAAGGAAGAAAGUAGAGAGAAGAUAAAGAGAGAAAGUGGGAAGAGAAACAAGAAAAAUGGUAGAAAACCAAACUGAAGCAGAGGAGGGCUUUUUUUAAGAGAAACCUAGUAAUUGCUGGCCAAAAAACAGGGUUUGAUGCUCGAGGAAGGAGAAGACAGUAAGAAGAAUUUUUACCUUAUCUCUGUCAACGUUUGGACACGAUUUCAAUAGAUUUGAAGGAAAAUUUUAGAAGAAGA
RNAcentral lists this long non-coding RNA (373 nucleotides) under Elaeis guineensis (African oil palm). RNAcentral's name for it is "long non-coding RNA (EGUI_LNC003495)". Lineage: Eukaryota; Viridiplantae; Streptophyta; Magnoliopsida; Arecales; Arecaceae. The record is from RNAcentral.